This 301-nucleotide ribosomal RNA is filed under the name uncultured bacterium. RNAcentral's name for it is "partial 16S ribosomal RNA". It matches the Rfam family "Bacterial small subunit ribosomal RNA", at positions 509 to 807 of the family's 1533-position model. The record is from RNAcentral.
CAGCCGCCGCGGUAAUACGUAGGUGGCAAGCGUUGUCCGGAAUUAUUGGGCGUAAAGGGCUCGCAGGCGGACAGUUCAGUCGGGGGUGAAAGCCCGGGGCUCAACCUCGGAAUUGCCUUCGAUACUGGCUGUCUUGAGUAUGAGAGAGGUGUGUGGAACUCCGAGUGUAGAGGUGAAAUUCGUAGAUAUUCGGAAGAACACCAGUGGCGAAGGCGACACACUGGCUCAUUACUGACGCUGAGGCGCGAAAGCGUGGGGAGCAAACAGGAUUAGAUACCCGUGUAGUCCCUGUCUCUUAUAC